RNAcentral lists this transfer RNA (90 nucleotides) under Lysobacter arenosi. RNAcentral describes it as "tRNA-Ser". It matches the Rfam family "tRNA". From Rfam's summary of the family: Transfer RNA (tRNA) molecules are approximately 80 nucleotides in length. The record is from RNAcentral. Lineage: Bacteria; Pseudomonadati; Pseudomonadota; Gammaproteobacteria; Lysobacterales; Lysobacteraceae. RNAcentral also lists the same sequence under 3 other names.
GGAGAGAUGGCCGAGUGGUUUAAGGCAGCGGUCUUGAAAACCGCCGUGGUAGCAAUACCACCGUGGGUUCGAAUCCCACUCUCUCCGCCA